Molecule: ribosomal RNA, 830 nt
Filed under: uncultured bacterium
Lineage: Bacteria
Description: bacterial SSU rRNA
Rfam family: Bacterial small subunit ribosomal RNA
Source: RNAcentral
GGUAGGCGGAAUGUGUAAUGUAGCGGUGAAAUGCAUAGAUAUUACACAGAACACCGAUUGCGUAGGCAGCUUACUAGACUAUUACUGACGCUGAGGCACGAAAGCGUGGGUAGCGAACAGGAUUAGAUACCCUGGUAGUCCACGCCGUAAACGAUGAUCACUCGUUGUGUGCGAUAUACUGUACGUGACUGAGCGAAAGCAUUAAGUGAUCCACCUGGGGAGUACGUUCGCAAGAAUGAAACUCAAAGGAAUUGACGGGGGCCCGCACAAGCGGAGGAACAUGUGGUUUAAUUCGAUGAUACGCGAGGAACCUUACCUGGGCUUAAAUGUAGACGGAUUGCUGUCGAAAGAUGGUUUCCCUUCGGGGCUGUUUACAAGGUGCUGCAUGGCUGUCGUCAGCUCGUGCCGUGAGGUGUCGGGUUAAGUCCCAUAACGAGCGCAACCCCUAUCGUUAGUUGCCAGCGGAUAAUGCCGGGGACUCUAAUGAGACUGCCACCGUAAGGUGUGAGGAAGGUGGGGAUGACGUCAAGUCAGCACGGCCCUUACGUCCAGGGCUACACACGUGUUACAAUGGCCAGUACAAAGGGCAGCUACCUGGUGACAGGAUGCUAAUCUCUAAAUCUGGUCUUAGUUCGGAUUGAAGUCUGCAACUCGACUUCAUGAAGUUGGAUUCGCUAGUAAUCGUAUAUCAGCAAUGAUACGGUGAAUACGUUCCCGGGCCUUGUACACACCGCCCGUCAAGCCAUGGAAGCCGGGGGUAUCUGAAGUCCGUAACCGCAAGGAUCGGCCUAGGGUAAAACUGGGUAACUGGGGGCUAAGUCGUAACAAGG